GUUUCUAAGUAAGGGCGUAUGGUGGAUGCCUUGGCAUGAAAUAGCGAUGAAGGACGCAGCGUAACGGCGAUACGUUUCGGGGAGGUGUGUAGCAACCUUUGAUCCGGAAAUUUCCGAAUGGGGUAACCCGAUCUCGCAAACCGAGAUCAACUUAGUCCGUAAGUGAUUAAGUAGUGCACCCGCUGAAGUGAAACAUCUCAGUAAGCGGAGGAAAAGAGAACGAAGUUAUUUCUUGAGUAGCGGCGAGCGAAAGAGAAGAAGCCUAAACCAGAAUUUGUUUUACGCAAGUAAAAUAGGUUUUGGGGUUGCAAGAUAUGAACAUUUUUCACUAAUCACAGCCGAGAUUUUCUCGUUUGUGAUUAGUGAAGAGAGAGUUACAAAUUUAUUUGUUAGCCGAAGAGUCUGGAAAGUCUCUCCAUAGUAGGUGAUAGGCCUGUAAGCGAAAGCGAAUAAACUCUUUGUUUGUAAUCUUAAGUACCUCGACACAAGAGAGUGUGGAGGGAAUCAUCCCAGACAAUUGGGAAAGGCUAAUUAUAUUUCAUGACCGAUAGUGCAGAAGUACGGUGAGGGAAAGGUGAAAAGCAGUCCGGUUAGGACAGUGAAAUAGACCUGAAACCAUAUGUCUACAAGGAACGGAAGUCCGCAAGGACAACCGUGUGCCUAUUGAAGAAUGAACCAACGAGUUCAUGUGUAUUGCAAGUCUAACCAAAAUUUUUUGGCGAGGCGUAGCGAAAGCUAGUGUUAAUAGCGCGAUUUAGCAGUUCAUAUGAGACCCGAAACCAAGCGAGCUUGCCCUGGCCAGGAUGAGUUCCCCGUAAUUGGGGAAGGAGGUCCGAACCGGUCGGUUGUUCAACACCGUCGGAUGAGCUGGGGUAAGAAGUGAAAAGCUAAUCGAGCUUGGUAAUAGCUGGUUCUCUCCGAAACAGUUCUAGGACUGGCGUCAAAUGUUCCCUUCUGGGGGUAGAGCACUGGAUGGUCUGUAAUGGGCGCAAGCUCGGCAGACCAAUCAAACUCCGAAUACCGGAAGGUCAAGAAUUUGGCAGUUAGACUACGGGGGCUAAGCUUCGUGGUCGAGAGAAGAAGAGUUCAGAUCGCAAUCUAAGGUCCCAAAGUUUUUGUUAAGUGUGUAAGGUAGUCGUGCACCUAUGACAGAUAGUAGGUUGGCUUAGAGGUAGCCAUCCUUUAAAGAGUGUGUAACAACUCACUAUUCGAUGGUGGACGGCGCCGAAAAUGUACCGGGGCUAAACAAAGCACCGAAGAUGCGAAUUUAUUCUGCCUCCGGGCAGGAUAAGUGGUAGGAGAGCAUUCCUAACGCAGUGAAGAUUGACCCGUGAGGGCGAUUGGAGGGUUAGGAAGAGAGAAUGUUGGUAUGAGUAACCGCAAGGUCGGAAAGAAACCGGCCCCCCGAAAAUUCAAGGUUUCCGUGGCAAUGGCAAUCAUCCACGGGUUAGGCGGCCCUAAGGCAAUGGCAUUGUCCGCAGCCGAAGGACAGCUGGUUAAUACUCCAGCCCGCCAAUUCAAUUCGACGGAGGGACGAGGUAAAUAAGGAAGGGUGUAUUAAUGGUUUUACAUCGCUAGCUUUAAGCGUGGCUAUAUAGGCAAAUCCGUAUAGCUGUCUUUAAUGACGUCAUGCAAAAGCCUGCGGAAGGUCAAGUUUUCUUGAUCAACCCAUCUGAAGAGACCUCCUAGAAAAACUUCUAAGAUUAGUUGAAUUGGCUCCGUACCGGAAACCGACACAGGUGGAUAGGGCGAGAAGCCCAAGGGGAACGAGUGAUUUCUCAUUAAGGAACUCGGCAAAAAAGCGAUCGUAAGUUAGCGAUAAGAUCUGCCUCGAGCAAUCGAGGCCGCAGCGAAAGUAUCUCUGGCGACUGUUUACCAAAAACACAGCUCCCUGCGAACUCGUAAGAGUAUGUAUAGGGGGUGACGCCUGACCCAUGCGAGAAGGUUAAAACUGGGGGUGAACUUGGAGCAAUCCGGGUUGGCUCGCUGGUUGAAGCCCUCGUCAAUGUCAGCGGUAACUAUAACCGUUCUAAGGUAGCGCAAUUCCUUUUCGGGUAAGUUCCGAAGCGCACGAAAGGUAUAAUGACUGGGGAACUGUCUCAAGGAUGAGCUCGGUGAAAUUGCGAUUCCCGUGAAGACGCGGGAUACCUGCAACGGGACGAAAAGACCCCGGGAGCUUUACUGUAGCUUGAUAUUGGCUUUAAAAUUUUACUGCGUAGCGUAGUGACGAGGGGUUGAAGCGUUGGUUUCGGCUGGCGUGGACCCGACAAUGAAACAGUCAUCUGCAAAAUUUUAAAAUCUAACCUCGACGGCAAAAACGUCUUGGGACAGUGUCUGGUGGGCAGUUUUAAUGGGGCGUUAUCCUCAACAAACGAUUAUAUUCCGUUUAAU
Molecule: ribosomal RNA, 2391 nt
Filed under: groundwater metagenome
Description: bacterial LSU rRNA
Rfam family: Bacterial large subunit ribosomal RNA
Source: RNAcentral